RNAcentral lists this ribosomal RNA (468 nucleotides) under uncultured bacterium. RNAcentral describes it as "partial 16S ribosomal RNA". It matches the Rfam family "Bacterial small subunit ribosomal RNA", at positions 28 to 507 of the family's 1533-position model. The record is from RNAcentral.
GACGAACGCUGGCGGCGUGCUUAACACAUGCAAGUCGAACGGAAAGGCCCUGCUUUUGUGGGGUGCUCGAGUGGCGAACGGGGGAGUAACACGUGAGUAACCUGCCCUUGACUUUGGGAUAACUUCAGGAAACUGGGGCUAAUACCGGAUAGGAGCUACUGCUGCAUGGUGGGGGUUGGAAAGUUUCGGCGGUUGGGGAUGGACUCGCGGCUUAUCAGCUUGUUGGUGGGGUAGUGGAUUACCAAGGCUUUGACGGGUAGCCGGCCUGAGAGGGUGACCGGCCACAAUACGCCUGCGAUACGGCCCAGACUCCUACGGGAGGCAGCAGUGGGGAAUAUUGCACAAUGGGCGCAAGCCUGAUGCAGCAACGCCGCGUGCGUGAUGCCCGCCUUCGGGUUGUAAACCGCUUUCGCCUUUGACGAAGCGUGAGUGACGGUAAUGGGUAAAGAAGCACCGGCUAACUACGUG